CAAAUACAUGUAUUUCAGAGGGAAACCAUUGAAAGAUUCUAGAAGUCGGAAGCCUUGUUUGUUGUAUGCUUAUUCUGGAUGAAAUAAACCUAAGGAAAAUCAUGGAGAAUUUUAAGGUAAGAGUAACAGCAUCAAAGAGGAAGAAUAGUCAUUUCCCAAGGCCUCAGGGUCCAUUGGAUAUGCAAUAACCUGGAAUAAGCAGAAAUAGUCCCAAUCAGGUGAAGAACUAGAAAAUUUGAAGAAAUGGAUCCAUGAUAAGGCUGCUUAUAGCUAUGAUAAUCUUUUCAUUAUGAAUUAAGGAAG
Cuculus canorus (common cuckoo) is the source of this 303-nucleotide long non-coding RNA. RefSeq lists it as uncharacterized. Lineage: Eukaryota; Metazoa; Chordata; Aves; Cuculiformes; Cuculidae. The transcript has 3 exons. The record is from RefSeq and is a predicted model, not a curated record.